RNAcentral lists this long non-coding RNA (1572 nucleotides) under Homo sapiens (human). RNAcentral's name for it is "HSALNT0115130". Lineage: Eukaryota; Metazoa; Chordata; Mammalia; Primates; Hominidae. The record is from RNAcentral.
CUGAAACAUCUGUGCUUAUUUGAGAGCUGGGAAACUCGCUACUUAAAUCUUUAAUCUAGGAUGUCUUAAAAUUAUAGUUCAUGUGGACUUAGUGAGGUCCUCAUAAUCUCUGAAACUGUGUAGGAGAUGGAACUUAGAAAGGAGAGACAGAUUGAGGUGAGCCACACAUAGAGCAACAGAGAGAGAUGGUGAUCCCAAGACAGGAUGCUGGAAUGAAGAGAGCCAGAGAGUAGCAGACAGGCAUGAGCAUGUGUGGGAGGGUCCAUGCCACAUUGGGGUCUCAAAGUGUCCAUACCUCGAACAGGUGAAGAGCCAGGACCCAGAGCCUUGGAGCCCAGGCCCACAGGAGACUGCAGCCACCCAGGGAGCCAGGGCUCGGGUGUCCCAGGAAUAGCCAGGGUCAAGCUCUGCCUCCCAUCCUCAGGCUCAGCCUUCACCUUGAUCGGAUUUCCUGGUCUCCUUCAUUCCCACAUCAUCCACUCUGCUGAAUUCCUUCCAUAGAUGAUCACUUCUCCCCAGGACACCGCCCCAGCAGCAAGUAACAGCCUGCCUGGCAGCGAGCCUUGCACGGGCCCAUCCCCACCCGCUCACAGGCACACACUGGCUUGUUCAGGAGGCUAUCAGACAAACAAAUUAAGACAGACAUGUGAAUACUGCCAUGCAAUACAGAGCAAUGGAUGGGAGGAAAGUCCAUAUUUUGUCGUCUUAUCUCCAGGAAGAAAUGAAGGCGGGAAGAGUAAGAAUGAUGCCCUGUUCCUUAACAAAACACUUUGUGCAUUCUUUAUUGUGUCAUAGCUGUGCAAGGAAACAAAGCUAUUGCAUUUUAUUUGGGCUGGAAAUGUAAAAUCUUUAAAAUAUAACUUUUAGAAGGAAGGCAGUUGCUCUUUUUCCUCGUGUCUUAUCAUGAGAGUCAUUUGAUCCAAGAUACUGCUCCUUAACUUACGCUUUUUAUUUGGAAGAAACACUAACGAUACUUCUUAGGGAUAUUGUACAGAGAAAGUAGGUUGCACAUUUAACCUUAGGAACAGAAACUGCUGUUGCUUAAGUACCGCUCACCCUUUCACCACCUGAGAUGAAGAAUGACUCAACCAUAUGAUGAAACAGAGAAAGCCAUGUUUCUAAUGAGGCCAGAGCCUGAAGGCAGAAACCCUUCAAGAGCUGAAUUUCCCAUUUUGUUGCCAACAACAAAUAAACUCAGUGUUCCUUCAAUGACGAUUAAUCCGGCAAAAACCAUGCAGAAAUGAAGGAGCUUUAAAAUGAUCAUCAUUCAUCAACCCAACCAUCUCCCUUGGAUACCCACUUCAUUACUAAGAGAGUAAUUAUUUUUGUGUUGUCAGUUUUAGGGAAAAGCCCUUGAGGAUUAUUCAUUGGUAAUUGGAAAAAUAAAUGUUAAUGUCUUCUGUGGAUUAGGAAAGAAUGUUUUAUGACUAACUGUUUAGACGCUUCUGUUGCAUUGCCUGAGUUUGGAAGCUUCAUUGGUUUUCCAGCCAAGGCUUCAUAAAAGCUUUCAAAUUACCUGUAGCUGUCAGAGAGGAGUCUCCUCAAGGAGAUGGAUGAAGCUUGCCCACGAUG